Molecule: ribosomal RNA, 429 nt
Filed under: Chloroflexota bacterium
Lineage: Bacteria; Bacillati; Chloroflexota
Description: Chloroflexi bacterium partial 16S ribosomal RNA
Rfam family: Bacterial small subunit ribosomal RNA
Source: RNAcentral
UGGGGAAUAUUGCACAAUGGGCGCAAGCCUGAUGCAGCCAUGCCGCGUGUAUGAAGAAGGCCUUCGGGUUGUAAAGUACUUUCAGCGGGGAGGAAGGGAGUAAAGUUAAUACCUUUGCUCAUUGACGUUACCCGCAGAAGAAGCACCGGCUAACUCCGUGCCAGCAGCCGCGGUAAUACGGAGGGUGCAAGCGUUAAUCGGAAUUACUGGGCGUAAAGCGCACGCAGGCGGUUUGUUAAGUCAGAUGUGAAAUCCCCGGGCUCAACCUGGGAACUGCAUCUGAUACUGGCAAGCUUGAGUCUCGUAGAGGGGGGUAGAAUUCCAGGUGUAGCGGUGAAAGGCGUAGAGAUCUGGAGGAAUACCGGUGGCGAAGGCGGCCCCCUGGACGAAGACUGACGCUCAGGUGCGAAAGCGUGGGGAGCAAACAGG